Molecule: ribosomal RNA, 2936 nt
Filed under: Aliarcobacter cryaerophilus
Lineage: Bacteria; Pseudomonadati; Campylobacterota; Epsilonproteobacteria; Campylobacterales; Arcobacteraceae
Description: Arcobacter cryaerophilus 23S ribosomal RNA
Rfam family: Bacterial large subunit ribosomal RNA
Source: RNAcentral
UAUAAGCUAUUAAGGGCUAAUGGUGGAUGCCUUGACUGUAAGAGGCGAUGAAGGACGUAUUAGGCUGCGAUAAGCCUCGGGGAGCUGCCAAAGAGCUUUGAUCCGAGGAUUUCCGAAUGGGGCAACCCAACAUAUAGAGAUAUAUGUUACCCUACGGGGAGCGAACCUGGUGAAGUGAAACAUCUCAGUAGCCAGAGGAAGAGAAAUCAAAUGAGAUUCCCAUAGUAGCGGCGAGCGAACUGGGAUUAGGACAAACCCAAUGCUUGCAUUGGGGGUUGUAGGACUAUAAUGUGUAAUUAAAGAGAAUAGAUGAAUUAGUUGGAAAACUAGAGCAUAGAAGGUGAUACUCCUGUAAUUAAAAUUCUCAAUAAUACUAAUAGUAUCCUGAGUAGGUCGGAACACGUGAUAUUUUGACUGAAGCUGGGGGGACCACCCUCCAAUCCUAAAUACUACUUACAGAUCGAUAGUGAACAAGUACCGUGAGGGAAAGGUGAAAAGUACUGCAGCGAGCAGAGUGAAAUAGAACCUGAAACCAUUAGCUUACAAUCAUUCAGAGCCCUAUGAUUUAUCAGGGUGAUGGACUGCCUUUUGCAUAAUGAGCCUGCGAGUUGUGGUGUCUGGCAAGGUUAAGCCAAGUGCGAAGCCGUAGCGAAAGCGAGUCUUAAUAGGGCGAAAUAGUCAGAUGCUUGCAGACCCGAAACGAAGUGAUCUAUCCAUGAGCAGGUUGAAGCUGGUGUAAGAGCCAGUGGAGGACCGAACCCGCUGACGUUGAAAAGUCUUGGGAUGACUUGUGGAUAGGGGUGAAAGGCCAAUCAAACUUCGUGAUAGCUGGUUCUCUCCGAAAUAUAUUUAGGUAUAGCCUUGUGUUGUAGCAUAUAGGGGUAGAGCACUGAAUGGGCUAGGGCUGCUUACCGCGGUACCAAACCCUAUCAAACUAUGAAUACUAUAUGUGGAAUCACAGGAGUCAGGCGGUGGGUGAUAAAAUCCGUCGUCAAGAGGGGAACAACCCAGACUAACAGCUAAGGUCCCUAAGUUACAUCUAAGUGGAAAACGAUGUGGAGUUACUGUGACAACCAGGAGGUUGGCUUAGAAGCAGACCAUCCUUUAAAGAAAGCGUAACAGCUCACUGGUCUAGUGAUUCUGCGCGGAAAAUAUAACGGGGCUAAGAUGUACACCGAAGCUUUAGAUUCAAUUUUUAAUUGAGUGGUAGGAGAGCGUUCUAUUCAGCGUUGAAGGUAUACCGGUAAGGAGUGCUGGAGCGGAUAGAAGUGAGCAUGCAGGCAUGAGUAGCGAUAAUUAAGGUGAGAAUCCUUAACGCCGAAAACCCAAGGUUUCCUACGCGAUGCUCGUCAUCGUAGGGUUAGUCGGGUCCUAAGUCGAGACUGAAAAGUGUAGACGAUGGCAAAUUGGUUAAUAUUCCAAUACCAACAUAUAAGCGCGAUGUGGGGACGCAUAGAGUUAGUCGAGCUCACUGAUGGAAUAGUGGGUCGAAGGAUGUAGGUUGUUAAGUAGGCAAAUCCGCUUAACGUUAGACCGAGAUCUUACAGGCUCUUGACACUCUUCGGAGGAGAUGGAGAAUCGAUGAUACUGUCGUGCCAAGAAAAGCCACUAAGUUUAUUAUAUGUUGCCCGUACCGUAAACCGACACAGGUGGGUGGGAUGAGUAUUCUAAGGCGCGUGGAAGAACCCUCUUUAAGGAACUCUGCAAAAUAGCACCGUAUCUUCGGUAUAAGGUGUGCCUACUUUGGUAUAUGGACUUGCUCCAAAAAGCUAGAGAGGUUGCAACAAAGAGUCCCUCCCGACUGUUUACCAAAAACACAGCACUUUGCUAACACGUAAGUGGAUGUAUAAGGUGUGACGCCUGCCCGGUGCUCGAAGGUUAAUUGAUGAUGUCAGCGCAAGCGAAGCAUUUGAUCGAAGCCCGAGUAAACGGCGGCCGUAACUAUAACGGUCCUAAGGUAGCGAAAUUCCUUGUCAGUUAAAUACUGACCUGCAUGAAUGGCGUAACGAGAUGGGAGCUGUCUCAAAGAGGGAUCCAGUGAAAUUGUAGUGGAGGUGAAAAUUCCUCCUACCCGCGGAAAGACGGAAAGACCCCGUGCACCUUUACUACAGCUUGACACUGUAGCUUGGAUAUUCAUGUGCAGGAUAGGUGGGAGGCUAUGAUGACUAGACGCAAGUAGAGUCGGAGCCAUCCUUGAGAUACCACCCUUGAAUAUUUGAGUUACUAACUGCGAUGAGUUAUCCUCAUUCAGGACAAUGUCUGGUGGGUAGUUUGACUGGGGCGGUCGCCUCCUAAAUAGUAACGGAGGCUUACAAAGGUUAGUUCAAAGCGGAUGGAAAUCGCUUGUUGAGUAUAAUGGCAUAAACUAGCUUGACUGUGAGACCUACAAGUCGAACAGAGACGAAAGUCGGUCAUAGUGAUCCGGUGGUUCUGCGUGGAAGGGCCAUCGCUCAAAGGAUAAAAGGUACGCCGGGGAUAACAGGCUGAUCUCCCCCAAGAGCUCACAUCGACGGGGAGGUUUGGCACCUCGAUGUCGGCUCAUCGCAUCCUGGGGCUGUAGUCGGUCCCAAGGGUAUGGCUGUUCGCCAUUUAAAGCGGUACGCGAGCUGGGUUCAGAACGUCGUGAGACAGUUCGGUCCCUAUCUUCCGUGGGCGUAGGAAAGUUGAAGAGAUUUGUCCCUAGUACGAGAGGACCGGGAUGAACCAACCACUGGUGUACCAAUUGUUCUGCCAAGAGCAUCGUUGGGUAGCCACGUUGGGAUGUGAUAAGAGCUGAAAGCAUCUAAGCUCGAAGCCAACUCUAAGAUGAACUUUCCCUGAAGUUCCCAGCAAGACUAGCUGGUUGAUAGGCUGGAUGUGUAAUGGGUGUAAGCCCUUUAGCUGACCAGUACUAAUAGAACGUUUGGCUUAUUUUUAACAAUUUUCUUUGGUUUACU